RNAcentral lists this transfer RNA (75 nucleotides) under Bacillota bacterium. Its description in RNAcentral is "tRNA-Cys". It matches the Rfam family "tRNA". Rfam says of the family: Transfer RNA (tRNA) molecules are approximately 80 nucleotides in length. Their secondary structure includes four short double-helical elements and three loops (D, anti-codon, and T loops). Further hydrogen bonds mediate the characteristic L-shaped molecular structure. tRNAs have two regions of fundamental functional importance: the anti-codon, which is responsible for specific mRNA codon recognition, and the 3' end, to which the tRNAs corresponding amino acid is attached (by aminoacyl-tRNA synthetases). tRNAs cope with the degeneracy of the genetic code in two manners: having more than one tRNA (with a specific anti-codon) for a particular amino acid; and 'wobble' base-pairing, i.e. permitting non-standard base-pairing at the 3rd anti-codon position. The record is from RNAcentral. Lineage: Bacteria; Bacillati; Bacillota.
GGCGCCAUAGCCAAGUGGUAAGGCAGAGGUCUGCAAAACCUCUAUGCGGCGGUCCAAAUCCGCCUGGCGCCUCCA